AAAAAAUUAGUUAAAAAAUAACAUAAGUAUGUCAAACUUAAAUUAUUAUCUAAAUAUAAUAUUUUUUU
RNAcentral lists this transfer RNA (68 nucleotides) under Singara diversalis. RNAcentral describes it as "tRNA-Asp". The record is from RNAcentral. Lineage: Eukaryota; Metazoa; Arthropoda; Insecta; Lepidoptera; Erebidae.